GGAAGGUGAUGAGUGGGUCUAAUCUCGCUGAUAACAUGCGGGAUGGGUGUUCGCCCCAACGCCUGGUUACGACGCUCGGGCACCCCAAUCUUAACCAUUCUGAUUCC
Nymphaea colorata (pocket water lily) is the source of this 107-nucleotide small nucleolar RNA. RefSeq annotates it as small nucleolar RNA Z279/snoR105/snoR108. The transcript has a single exon. The record is from RefSeq and is a predicted model, not a curated record. Lineage: Eukaryota; Viridiplantae; Streptophyta; Magnoliopsida; Nymphaeales; Nymphaeaceae.